RNAcentral lists this ribosomal RNA (492 nucleotides) under uncultured bacterium. RNAcentral describes it as "partial 16S ribosomal RNA". It matches the Rfam family "Bacterial small subunit ribosomal RNA", at positions 29 to 507 of the family's 1533-position model. The record is from RNAcentral.
AGUGAACGCUGGCGGUAGGCCUAACACAUGCAAGUCGAACGGCAGCACAGUAAGAGCUUGCUCUUACGGGUGGCGAGUGGCGGACGGGUGAGGAAUACAUCGGAAUCUACUUUUUCGUGGGGGAUAACGUAGGGAAACUUACGCUAAUACCGCAUACGACCUACGGGUGAAAACAGGGGAUCUUCGGACCUUGCGCGAUUGAAUGAGCCGAUGUCGGAUUAGCUAGUUGGCGGGGUAAAGGCCCACCAAGGCGACGAUCCGUAGCUGGUCUGAGAGGAUGAUCAGCCACACUGGAACUGAGACACGGUCCAGACUCCUACGGGAGGCAGCAGUGGGGAAUAUUGGACAAUGGGCGCAAGCCUGAUCCAGCCAUACCGCGUGGGUGAAGAAGGCCUUCGGGUUGUAAAGCCCUUUUGUUGGGAAAGAAAAGCAGCAGGUUAAUACCCCGCUGUUCUGACGGUACCCAAAGAAUAAGCGCCGGCUAACUUCGUG